UUCAUCUGAACAAAGCAGGGUAGCAAUAUGCUUCCCAGCAUAUGUUCAAAAGUAAAUUCUAGGAUAUCCCUGGUCUCUGUAAACAAGAGAAUGGAUAAACAACAAAGUCAGCAAUAAGUAGGAAUAAAUUUCUGCUCUCUGCAAUGACACAGUGUGUGGGAAGACAGCUAGGUAAGCAAGGAGAUAGGCUGACUAAUCACUUGGAUGCCAUUGGAAAUGGACAUAAGGAAAUGAGAGGAAACCAGAGAUGCUAAGAAGCCUCCGUAACAAUCCAGGCAAAAGGAGAAGCCAGAUCCCGGUGAACGUAAUUCAUCUCGGACAGAUACUUCAUGCCAGCAGCGAUGCCCCUGAGCAUACCUACCAGCUGGAUCACCGU
Long non-coding RNA from Chinchilla lanigera (long-tailed chinchilla), 376 nucleotides. RefSeq lists it as uncharacterized. NCBI's taxonomy places the organism in Eukaryota, Metazoa, Chordata, Mammalia, Rodentia, Chinchillidae. The transcript has 3 exons. The record is from RefSeq and is a predicted model, not a curated record.